This 1360-nucleotide ribosomal RNA is filed under the name uncultured bacterium. RNAcentral describes it as "bacterial SSU rRNA". It matches the Rfam family "Bacterial small subunit ribosomal RNA", at positions 28 to 1381 of the family's 1533-position model. The record is from RNAcentral.
GAUGAACGCUAGCGGCAGGCUUAACACAUGCAAGUCGAGGGGCAUCGGGAGGGAAGCUUGCUUUCCUUGCCGGCGACCGGCGCACGGGUGAGUAACACGUAUGCAACCUGCCCUCUUCAGGGGGACAACCUUCCGAAAGGGAGGCUAAUCCCGCGUAUAUCGGUUUCGGGCAUCCGAGAUCGAGGAAAGAUUCAUCGGAAGAGGAUGGGCAUGCGGCGCAUUAGCUUGACGGCGGGGUAACGGCCCACCGUGGCGACGAUGCGUAGGGGUUCUGAGAGGAAGGUCCCCCACACUGGUACUGAGACACGGACCAGACUCCUACGGGAGGCAGCAGUGAGGAAUAUUGGUCAAUGGGAGAGAUCCUGAACCAGCCAAGCCGCGUGAGGGAAGACGGUCCUAUGGGUUGUAAACCUCUUUUGUCGGAGAACAAAACCCGGGACGUGUCCCGGACUGCGUGUAUCCGAAGAAAAAGCAUCGGCUAACUCCGUGCCAGCAGCCGCGGUAAUACGGAGGAUGCGAGCGUUAUCCGGAUUUAUUGGGUUUAAAGGGUGCGUAGGCGGUCCGUUAAGUCAGCGGUAAAAUUGCGGGGCUCAACCCCGUCGAGCCGUUGAAACUGGCAGACUUGAGUUGGCGAGAAGUACGCGGAAUGCGCGGUGUAGCGGUGAAAUGCAUAGAUAUCGCGCAGAACUCCGAUUGCGAAGGCAGCGUACCGGCGCCAGACUGACGCUGAGGCACGAAAGCGUGGGGAUCGAACAGGAUUAAAUACCCUGGUAGUCCACGCAGUAAACGAUGAAUGCUGGUUGUCCGGGUCGAAUGAGAUCUGGGCGGCGAAGCGAAAGCGAUAAGCAUUCCACCUGGGGAGUACGCCGGCAACGGUGAAACUCAAAGGAAUUGACGGGGGCCCGCACAAGCGGAGGAACAUGUGGUUUAAUUCGAUGAUACGCGAGGAACCUUACCCGGGCUCAAACGGGAGUGGAAUGGACCAGAGACGGUUCAGCCUACGGGCCGCUUCCGAGGUGCUGCAUGGUUGUCGUCAGCUCGUGCCGUGAGGUGUCGGCUUAAGUGCCAUAACGAGCGCAACCCCCGCCGGCAGUUGCUAACGGGCAAUGCCGAGGACUCUGCCGGGACUGCCGCCGCAAGGCGAGAGGAAGGCGGGGAUGACGUCAAAUCAGCACGGCCCUUACGUCCGGGGCGACACACGUGUUACAAUGGGCGGUACAGCGGGAAGCCAGGCGGCGACGCCGAGCGGAACCCGAAAGCCGUUCUCAGUUCGGAUCGGAGUCUGCAACCCGACUCCGUGAAGCUGGAUUCGCUAGUAAUCGCGCAUCAGCCAUGGCGCGGUGAAUACGUUCCCGGGCCU